This 254-nucleotide ribosomal RNA is filed under the name uncultured bacterium. RNAcentral's name for it is "partial 16S ribosomal RNA". It matches the Rfam family "Bacterial small subunit ribosomal RNA", at positions 526 to 779 of the family's 1533-position model. The record is from RNAcentral.
CGUAGGCAGCGAGCGUUGUUCGGAGUUACUGGGCGUAAAGAGUGCGUAGGCGGUUUUCUAAGUUUGGUGUGAAAUCUCCCGGCUUAACUGGGAGGGUGCGCCGAAGACUGGAAGGCUUGAGUAUGGGAGAGGUAAGCGGAAUUCCUGGUGUAGCGGUGAAAUGCGUAGAUAUCAGGAGGAACACCUGCGGUGUAGACGGCUUACUGGACCAUAACUGACGCUGAGGCACGAAAGCGUGGGUAGCAAACAGGAUU